RNAcentral lists this long non-coding RNA (222 nucleotides) under Hordeum vulgare. Its description in RNAcentral is "long non-coding RNA (HVUL_LNC009943)". The record is from RNAcentral. Lineage: Eukaryota; Viridiplantae; Streptophyta; Magnoliopsida; Poales; Poaceae.
CCUCGCCCCUGCCCUUUUGUUUGUUGUCAUCUCACCAUAGGCGUCGUCCUCGCCAUAUUUUCGCCAUGCUCCCCGUGCUCUGCGGGUAUCUCUGAAAAUACUUCAGAGAAGCGCAUGCACCCUUCCUCCGCGGCGGAUGCCUUUUUAUGUGUGUGUUUGGUUGUGUUCAAAGUCUCUCAUAGCCGCCUUGUAGACCCGCGCACUCGCCGCACCCCAGUGUCC